AUUAUAUGCCGCUCUCCAUACAAAGUGCUUUAUGUGGAUUCCAUCUACUCACCUUCCCGUGGACAGAUAAGAGAGAGAGAGAGAGAGUGAGCACACAAGCAGGGGGAGCAGGAGAAGGAGGAGCAGGAUCGUUGCUGAGCACAGACCCCAAUAGGGAGCUCAAGACCAAGACCCUGGGAUCCUGUCCUCAACUGAAAGCCGACACCCAACAGAAUGACUACCCAGGUACCCCGAGACUGUUUUUCUUUUCCUAAACUCUAUAAAGCUGGAGACUAGAAC
This 279-nucleotide long non-coding RNA is filed under the name Mustela putorius furo (domestic ferret). Its description in RNAcentral is "lncRNA (ENSMPUG00000031653.1)". Lineage: Eukaryota; Metazoa; Chordata; Mammalia; Carnivora; Mustelidae. The record is from RNAcentral.